Molecule: ribosomal RNA, 407 nt
Filed under: uncultured bacterium
Lineage: Bacteria
Description: bacterial SSU rRNA
Rfam family: Bacterial small subunit ribosomal RNA
Source: RNAcentral
UUAGGAAUCUUGCGCAAUGGGCGAAAGCCUGACGCAGCGACGUCGCGUGACUGAUGAAGUCUUUCGGGAUGUAAAAGUCUUUUUUGCGGGAAGAAGGAUGUGACGGUACCGCAAGAAUAAGCCCCGGCUAACUACGUGCCAGCAGCCGCGGUAAUACGUAGGGGGCGAGCGUUGUCCGAAUUCACUGGGCGUAAAGCGCGCGUAGGCGGGUUUUUAAGUUGUGGGUGAAAUCCCGAGGCUCAACCUCGGAACUGCCUGCAAAACUGGGGACCUGGAGUUAUGGAGAGGGAAGUGGAAUUCCUGGUGUAGCGGUGAAAUGCGUAGAUAUCAGGAGGAACACCUGUGGCGAAGGCGGCUUCCUGGCCAUAUACUGACGCUGAGGUGCGAAAGCUAGGGGAGCGAACGGG